Molecule: ribosomal RNA, 254 nt
Filed under: uncultured bacterium
Lineage: Bacteria
Description: partial 16S ribosomal RNA
Rfam family: Bacterial small subunit ribosomal RNA
Source: RNAcentral
UACGUAGGGUGCAAGCGUUAAUCGGAAUUACUGGGCGUAAAGCGUGCGCAGGCGGUUAUGUAAGACAGGUGUGAAAUCCCCGGGCUUAACCUGGGAACUGCAUUUGUGACUGCAUCGCUAGAGUACGGUAGAGGGGGAUGGAAUUCCGCGUGUAGCAGUGAAAUGCGUAGAUAUCAGGAGGAACACCGAUGGCGAAGGCAGCUGCCCUGGCCUAACACUGACGCUGAGGUGCGAAAGCGUGGGGAGCGAACGGG